AGGACUGACUGCUAGAUUGACGCUGGCGGCAGGCCUAACACAUGCAAGUCGGACGGUAGCACAGAGGAGCUUGCUCCUCGGGUGACGAGUGGCGGACGGGUGAGUAAUGUCUGGGAAACUGCCCGAUGGAGGGGGAUAACUACUGGAAACGGUAGCUAAUACCGCAUAACGUCGCAAGACCAAAGUGGGGGACCUUCGGGCCUCACACCAUCGGAUGUGCCCAGAUGGGAUUAGCUUGUAGGCGGGGUAACGGCCCACCUAGGCGACGAUCCCUAGCUGGUCUGAGAGGAUGACCAGCCACACUGGAACUGAGACACGGUCCAGACUCCUACGGGAGGCAGCAGUGGGGAAUAUUGCACAAUGGGCGCAAGCCUGAUGCAGCCAUGCCGCGUGUAUGAAGAAGGCCUUCGGGUUGUAAAGUACUUUCAGCGGGGAGGAAGGUGCUGAGGUUAAUAACCUCAGCAAUUGACGUUACCCGCAGAAGAAGCACCGGCUAACUCCGUGCCAGCCGCCGCGGUAAU
Molecule: ribosomal RNA, 521 nt
Filed under: Pantoea stewartii
Lineage: Bacteria; Pseudomonadati; Pseudomonadota; Gammaproteobacteria; Enterobacterales; Erwiniaceae
Description: bacterial SSU rRNA
Rfam family: Bacterial small subunit ribosomal RNA
Source: RNAcentral